Molecule: transfer RNA, 76 nt
Filed under: Spirochaetota bacterium
Lineage: Bacteria; Pseudomonadati; Spirochaetota
Description: Spirochaetes bacterium tRNA-His
Rfam family: tRNA
About the family: Transfer RNA (tRNA) molecules are approximately 80 nucleotides in length.
Source: RNAcentral
GUGGCUGUAGUUCAGAUGGUAGAACACCGGGUUGUGAUCCCGGAUGUCGCGGGUUCGAUCCCCGUCAGUCACCCCA